CCUACGGGAGGCAGCAGUGGGGAAUAUUGGACAAUGGGCGAAAGCCUGGUCCAGCCAUGCCGCGUGUGUGAAGAAGGCCUUCGGGUUGUAAAGCACUUUCAGUGGGGAAGAAAGCCUUGGGGCUAAUACCCUCGAGGAAGGACAUCACCCACAGAAGAAGCACCGGCUAACUCCGUGCCAGCAGCCGCGGUAAUACGGAGGGUGCGAGCGUUAAUCGGAAUUACUGGGCGUAAAGCGCGCGUAGGCGGUCUGAUAAGCCGGUUGUGAAAGCCCCGGGCUCAACCUGGGAACGGCAUCCGGAACUGUCAGGCUAGAGUGCAGGAGAGGAAGGUAGAAUUCCCGGUGUAGCGGUGAAAUGCGUAGAGAUCGGGAGGAAUACCAGUGGCGAAGGCGGCCUUCUGGACUGACACUGACGCUGAGGUGCGAAAGCGUGGGUAGCAAACAGGAUUAGAUACCCGAGUAUC
RNAcentral lists this ribosomal RNA (464 nucleotides) under Vreelandella stevensii. RNAcentral's name for it is "partial 16S ribosomal RNA". It matches the Rfam family "Bacterial small subunit ribosomal RNA", at positions 338 to 794 of the family's 1533-position model. The record is from RNAcentral. Lineage: Bacteria; Pseudomonadati; Pseudomonadota; Gammaproteobacteria; Oceanospirillales; Halomonadaceae.